RNAcentral lists this ribosomal RNA (253 nucleotides) under uncultured bacterium. RNAcentral's name for it is "partial 16S ribosomal RNA". It matches the Rfam family "Bacterial small subunit ribosomal RNA", at positions 526 to 779 of the family's 1533-position model. The record is from RNAcentral.
CGUAGGGUGCAAGCGUUAAUCGGAAUUACUGGGCGUAAAGCGUGCGCAGGCGGUUGUGCAAGACAGAUGUGAAAUCCCCGGGCUUAACCUGGGAAUUGCAUUUGUGACUGCACGGCUAGAGUGUGUCAGAGGGGGGUAGAAUUCCACGUGUAGCAGUGAAAUGCGUAGAGAUGUGGAGGAAUACCGAUGGCGAAGGCAGCCCCUGGGAUAACACUGACGCUCAUGCACGAAAAGCGUGGGAGCAAACAGGAUU